Lingula anatina is the source of this 497-nucleotide long non-coding RNA. The record is from RefSeq and is a predicted model, not a curated record. NCBI's taxonomy places the organism in Eukaryota, Metazoa, Brachiopoda, Lingulata, Lingulida, Lingulidae.
AUUUCGGCUACCCACAAUGCUCGGGCUCAGAAGACUCGAUUUUGAAUUGCCGUUAUUAUGGUCCGACUGAGAAUUUGUGUGGUCACCACGAAGACGUCGCCGUGUUUUGUUCGGAGAGUGUAAACAACAGUAUAGUUUACAGAGAAAAUUGGGGGAGAGUGGAAUUUUGGAAGGAAGGAAGUUGGAACAACCGACGACCAGUUUGCGAUGGGAACUUUACUGACAUCGAGGCCACAGUGGUAUGUCGAGAGCGAGGCUUCAACGCGGGACAUGCCGUUUGUUGUGGGUCAAGCGAUCCCUGGGGUCACUCUGACUCAAAAACAGAUUGGUUGUGCACGGGGAACGAAGCUCGACUCUUGGAUUGCCCUCACACCGACGCUUCAUGCUCAUCUGGCCACUCUGCAAGUGUUGUGUGCUACAACAGUUCUAUACCACAAGAUGAAGUGUAUACGCUGAACCAUGGCAGUUACGGUUACGUGCGCAUGACCUACAAAGGC